Cucurbita pepo subsp. pepo (vegetable marrow) is the source of this 263-nucleotide non-coding RNA. NCBI's taxonomy places the organism in Eukaryota, Viridiplantae, Streptophyta, Magnoliopsida, Cucurbitales, Cucurbitaceae. The record is from RefSeq and is a predicted model, not a curated record.
UGCAUAGUGAAGGAGGAAGUUCAAAUGAAGAUUCCCAUGUAUGCCUCAACUUAGGUUUGACAGAUUAUAGGACCUUUGUGGGAACAAACUUAAGCCCAUUGUGGGAAAAAUUCCUUGUUCCAGCAGAAGAAAUUUUUCCCUGCAGAUGACUGUAUUCGAUGUCGGCACACCUCAAGUCCUCUGGGUAAUGGUGCUAUUGUGGAGACAUCAGAUGGGAAAAUAGUUUUGUUGCAAAGAAGUAAUAAUGUAGGUGAAUUUCCAGG